UACUGGCUCAGGAUGAACGCUAGCGGCAGGCUUAACACAUGCAAGUCGAGGGGCAUCGGGAGUAGCAAUACUGCCGGCGACCGGCGCAAGGGUGCGUAACGCGUGAGCAACAUGCCCGUAUCAGGGGGAUAAUCCAUGGAAACGUGGUCUAAUACCCCAUAGUAAUUAUGUAAGGCAUCUUAUAUAAUUUAAAGCUUUGGUGGAUACGGAUUGGCUCGCGUGACAUUAGCUGGAUGGUAAGGUAACGGCUUACCAUGGCUACGAUGUCUAGGGGUUCUGAGAGGAAGGUCCCCCACACUGGAACUGAGACACGGUCCAGACUCCUACGGGAGGCAGCAGUGAGGAAUAUUGGACAAUGGAUGGAAAUCUGAUCCAGCCAUGCCGCGUGCAAGGAAGACGGCCCUAUGGGUUGUAAACUGCUUUUGUAUGGGAGCAAUAAGGGCUACGUGUAGUCCGAUGAGAGUACCAUACGAAUAAGCACCGGCUAACUCCGUGCCAGCCGCCGC
RNAcentral lists this ribosomal RNA (506 nucleotides) under uncultured bacterium. RNAcentral's name for it is "bacterial SSU rRNA". It matches the Rfam family "Bacterial small subunit ribosomal RNA", at positions 17 to 518 of the family's 1533-position model. The record is from RNAcentral.